GCCCCAAACAUAGCUCAGUUGGUAGAGCAUGAGACUCUUAAUCUGCUGGUUAUGGGUUCAAAUCCUACAUUGGGCA
Non-coding RNA from Podarcis lilfordi (Lilford's wall lizard), 76 nucleotides. Lineage: Eukaryota; Metazoa; Chordata; Lepidosauria; Squamata; Lacertidae. The record is from the annotation of a GenBank genome assembly.